GAUGAACGCUGGCGGCGUGCUUAACACAUGCAAGUCGAACGUGAUCCAUUAGCAAUAGUGGUGAAAGUGGCGAACGGGUGAGUAACACGUAGAUAACCUGCCCUGAAGAGGGGGAUAACGACUGGAAACGGUCGCUAAUACCGCAUAAUGUCUUUUAGUAGGGAUACUAGAAGAAGAAAACUCUGGUGCUUCAGGAGGGGUCUGCGUCCGAUUAGCUAGUUGGUGAGGUAAAGGCUUACCAAGGCGACGAUCGGUAGCUGGUCUGAGAGGACGAUCAGCCACACGGGAACUGAGACACGGUCCCGACUCCUACGGGGGGCAGCAGUGAGGAAUAUUGCCCAAUGGGGGAAACCCUGAGGCAGCAACGCCGCGUGGAGGAAGAAGGUCUUUACGAUCGUAAACUUCUUUUGUGAGGGAAGAGGAAGGACGGUACCUCAUGAAUAAGUCACGGCUAACUACGUGCCAGCAGCCGCGUAAUCAUACUCGUA
RNAcentral lists this ribosomal RNA (488 nucleotides) under uncultured bacterium. RNAcentral describes it as "bacterial SSU rRNA". It matches the Rfam family "Bacterial small subunit ribosomal RNA", at positions 28 to 529 of the family's 1533-position model. The record is from RNAcentral.